Molecule: ribosomal RNA, 402 nt
Filed under: uncultured bacterium
Lineage: Bacteria
Description: bacterial SSU rRNA
Rfam family: Bacterial small subunit ribosomal RNA
Source: RNAcentral
UGGGGAAUAUUGGACAAUGGGCGCAAGCCUGAUCCAGCCAUGCCGCGUGAGUGAUGAAGGCCUUAGGGUUGUAAAGCUCUUUUAGCAGGGAAGAUAAUGACGGUACCUGCAGAAAAAGCCCCGGCUAACUUCGUGCCAGCAGCCGCGGUAAUACGAAGGGGGCUAGCGUUGCUCGGAAUUACUGGGCGUAAAGCGCACGUAGGCGGACUCUUAAGUCGGUGGUGAAAUCCUGGAGCUCAACUCCAGAACUGCCUUCGGUACUGGGAGUCUUGAGUUCGGGAGAGGUGAGUGGAACUGCGAGUGUAGAGGUGAAAUUCGUAGAUAUUCGCAAGAACACCAGUGGCGAAGGCGGCUCACUGGCCCGAUACUGACGCUGAGGUGCGAAAGCGUGGGGAGCAAACA